GGGGUUGUGGCUCAGUGGUACAGCGCUUGCCUAGCAUGCAUGAGGCACUGGGUUCGAUCCCAGUCACCACA
This 71-nucleotide transfer RNA is filed under the name Marmota marmota marmota (Alpine marmot). It matches the Rfam family "tRNA". Rfam says of the family: Transfer RNA (tRNA) molecules are approximately 80 nucleotides in length. Their secondary structure includes four short double-helical elements and three loops (D, anti-codon, and T loops). Lineage: Eukaryota; Metazoa; Chordata; Mammalia; Rodentia; Sciuridae. The record is from Rfam by way of RNAcentral. RNAcentral also lists the same sequence under 2 other names.